UGGGGGAUAUUGCACAAUGGGCGAAAGCCUGAUGCAGCGACGCCGCGUGGGGGAUGAAGGCUUUCGGGUUGUAAACCUCUUUCGCUAUCGAAUAAGGCCCGCUUAGGGUGGGUUGAGGGUAGGUGGAGAAGAAGCGCCGGCUAACUACGUGCCAGCAGCCGCGGUAAUACGUAGGGCGCGAGCGUUGUCCGGAAUUAUUGGGCGUAAAGGGCUUGUAGGCGGCUUGUUGCGCCUGCUGUGAAAACGCGGGGCUUAACUUCGCGCGUGCAGUGGGUACGGGCAGGCUUGAGUGUGGUAGGGGUGACUGGAAUUCCAGGUGUAGCGGUGGAAUGCGCAGAUAUCUGGAGGAACACCGAUGGCGAAGGCAGGUCACUGGGCCAUUACUGACACUGAGGAGCGAAAGCAUGGGUAGCGAACAGG
This 420-nucleotide ribosomal RNA is filed under the name bacterium. RNAcentral's name for it is "partial 16S ribosomal RNA". It matches the Rfam family "Bacterial small subunit ribosomal RNA", at positions 355 to 776 of the family's 1533-position model. The record is from RNAcentral.